RNAcentral lists this ribosomal RNA (1276 nucleotides) under metagenome. RNAcentral's name for it is "bacterial LSU rRNA". It matches the Rfam family "Bacterial large subunit ribosomal RNA", at positions 1612 to 2915 of the family's 2925-position model. The record is from RNAcentral.
GAAAUAGCACUUAUAUUUAUGAGGCCGUACCGUAAACCGACACUGGUGGAUGAGUAGAGUAUACUAAGGUGUUGAAAGAAUGAUGUUGAAGGAACUCGGCAAAUUAUACCUGUAACUUCGGAAGAAGGGUAACCUGUUUUUAGGCAACUAUGAGCAGGUGGCACAAAAUAGGGAGUAGCGACUGUUUACUAAAAACACAGGACUCUGCAAACACGUAAGUGGAAGUAUAGGGUCUGACGCCUGCCCGGUGCUGGAAGGUUAAUAGGAAGGGUGCAAGCUCCGAAUUGAAGCCCCAGUAAACGGCGGCCGUAACACUGACGGUCCUAAGGUAGCGAAAUUCCUUGUCGGGUAAGUUCCGACCCGCACGAAUGGCGUAACGAUUUCUCCACUGUCUCCAACAUCACUUCAGCGAAAUUGAAUUCCCCGUGCAGAUGCGGGGUACCCGCGGUUAGACGAAGAGACCCCGUGCACCUUUACUAUAGCUUUACAUUGCUGUUAAAAGUGUGAUGUGCAGAAUAGGUGGGAGGCUUUGAAGUUAUGGCGCUAGCUAUAAUGGAGCCAUCAUUGAGAUACCACCCUUUACACUUUUGAUAUCUAACUAUGUUUCAUUAUCUGGAACUAGGACAUUGUAUGGUGGGUAGUUUGACUGGGGCGGUCGCCUCCUAAAGAGUAACGGAGGCGUGCGAAGGUAAGCUAGAGCUGGUCGGAAAUCAGCUUAAUAGUAUAAUGGCAUAAGCUUGCCUGACUGCGAGGCCGACAAGCCAAGCAGAGACGAAAGUCGGUCAUAGUGAUCCGGUAAUUCUGUAUGGAAGGGUCAUCGCUCAACGGAUAAAAGGUACGCCGGGGAUAACAGGCUGAUGGUGUUCGAGAGUUCAUAUCGACGACACCGUUUGGCACCUCGAUGUCGACUCAUCACAUCCUGGGGCUGAAGAAGGUCCCAAGGGUUCGGCUGUUCGCCGAUUAAAGUGAUACGUGAGUUGGGUUUAGAACGUCGUGAGACAGUUCGGUUUCUAUCUUCCGCGGGUGAAGGAAAUUUGAGAAGGUCUGACUCUAGUACGAGAGGACCGAGAUGGAUAUACCUCUGGUGUACCAGCUGUUAUGCCAAUAGCAUCGCUGGGUAGCUAUGUAUAGAUGGGAUAAUUGCUGAAAGCAUAUAAGCAAGAAACCCUCUUCAAAAAGAUUUCCCAAUUAAGGCCGUGGAAGACUACCACGUUGAUAGGCUAGGUGUGGAAGCAUGGUAACAUGUGAAGCUAACUAGUACUAAUAGCCUGAUUGA